RNAcentral lists this transfer RNA (74 nucleotides) under Actinomycetota bacterium. RNAcentral describes it as "tRNA-Arg". It matches the Rfam family "tRNA". Rfam says of the family: Transfer RNA (tRNA) molecules are approximately 80 nucleotides in length. Their secondary structure includes four short double-helical elements and three loops (D, anti-codon, and T loops). Lineage: Bacteria; Bacillati; Actinomycetota. The record is from RNAcentral.
GCCCCUGUAGCUCAGCUGGACAGAGCGGCUGCCUUCUAAGCAGCGGGUCGUAGGUUCGAGUCCUACCGGGGGCG